Molecule: ribosomal RNA, 373 nt
Filed under: uncultured organism
Description: partial 16S ribosomal RNA
Rfam family: Bacterial small subunit ribosomal RNA
Source: RNAcentral
GUAGGUGGCAAGCGUUGUCCGGAAUUAUUGGGCGUAAAGCGCGCGCAGGUGGUUCUUUAAGUCUGAUGUGAAAGCCCCCGGGCUCAACCGGGGAGGGUCAUUGGAAACUGGGGAACUUGAGUGCAGGAGAGGAAGGUGGAAUUCCACGUGUAGCGGUGAAAUGCGUAGAUAUGUGGAGGAACACCAGUGGCGAAGGCGACUUUCUGGCCUGUAACUGACACUGAGGCGCGAAAGCGUGGGGAGCAAACAGGAUUAGAUACCCUGGUAGUCCACGCCGUAAACGAUGAGUGCUAAGUGUUGGGGGGUUUCCGCCCCUCAGUGCUGCAGCUAACGCAUUAAGCACUCCGCCUGGGGAGUACGGUCGCAAAGACUG